Molecule: transfer RNA, 73 nt
Filed under: Candidatus Woesearchaeota archaeon
Lineage: Archaea; Nanobdellati; Candidatus Woesearchaeota
Description: tRNA-Val
Rfam family: tRNA
About the family: Transfer RNA (tRNA) molecules are approximately 80 nucleotides in length. Their secondary structure includes four short double-helical elements and three loops (D, anti-codon, and T loops).
Source: RNAcentral
GGGCCCGUGGUCUAGUGGUUAUGACAUCGCCCUUACAAGGCGAGGAUCACCGGUUCAAAUCCGGUCGGGCCCA